AUACGGAGGGUGCAAGCGUUACUCGGAAUCACUGGGCGUAAAGCGCGCGCAGGCGGUCUUUUAAGUUGGAUGUGAAAGCCUACGGCUCAACCGUAGAACUGCAUCCAAAACUAUUAGACUAGAGUGUGGGAGAGGAAGAUGGAAUUAGUUGUGUAGGGGUAAAAUCCGUAGAGAUAACUAGGAAUACCAAAAGCGAAGGCAAUCUUCUGGAACACUACUGACGCUGAGGCGCGAAAGCGUGGGGAGCAAACGGGAGUAGAAACCCUAGUAGUCC
This 274-nucleotide ribosomal RNA is filed under the name uncultured bacterium. RNAcentral's name for it is "partial 16S ribosomal RNA". It matches the Rfam family "Bacterial small subunit ribosomal RNA", at positions 523 to 796 of the family's 1533-position model. The record is from RNAcentral.